RNAcentral lists this long non-coding RNA (1051 nucleotides) under Homo sapiens (human). Its description in RNAcentral is "HSALNT0297574". The record is from RNAcentral. Lineage: Eukaryota; Metazoa; Chordata; Mammalia; Primates; Hominidae.
GGGCAAGCAGUCUGUGGCAACUACGGUGUCCUUUGAGGUCAUCUCAAGCAGACCCCUCACUCUGAAGCCCCCGGAUCCAAGCAGGAUGAGCUGCCAACUCAGCUUGCUCUGACUUGACUUGGCUCAUGAUCCGUGGAAGACAUCCCUACCUGACCCGUCGAUCAGCCCGAAACUUCAACAUCUUUUUGGCAGCUCCGUCCCCAGUUUGGCAGCCUCAGAGGACCCGCCGGCCACCCUGAUCCUACCAUGCCUCUGAGAAGCAUGUAUGUUUACACAUGCACACACACUCCCAGGCUGGAUGCCCAGAACCCCACUGUGAUCAAUAUUGAACGACUGGAGAAAUACUCCACUCCUUCCACCCACUGGGCCUCUCUUGAUUAUCUGCUGUACACCAAGCUGCUUCAUUUCCAUAGCUCCUGAGAAUCUGCUGACAAAGAAUUAGCCCUGGCCCAGCUUCCCCAUCCUGAGGACGCCUUGGCUUCCAGCAUUACAGCUCAUUAGGUGGAGAGAGGUUUGCAUGCAAGGCAAGUGGAAAGGGGGUCCCAUCCCUUCCACUUCCUUCUUUCUCCCAGCUAGCAAAUUCCAAGCCGAGACUGUCCAUGCUCCAGAGAGGAUUUCUGCUGCCACAGAGGAGGGGAAGGUGGGGAGAAGGUUGGCUCCUGCUCUGUGCCUCCCCAUCUGGAUCUCAUCAUUAUUUUCAAGGAGGCUUAUCUGCUUCAGCAUCCUGUCCCAAUUAAAAACCAACUCAGUUUAUGUUUCCAGCCAUCUUCAUGCACCUGAUUCCUGAAGCUCCCCCUGCCAUUUCCAGGAGAAAAUACACUUUCCUAGCCACUUCUCAUCAGAGGCCCUCUGUUUUCCUACCUAUUGCUGCCACAUAAAGAAGAGGUCAAAGAGGGUCAGGCCCUGGCAGCACUUCUAGGUAUUUGCAGGUGGGAAGGAACCCCUCCAAACAACACUGCCUUAGCCAGGCAUGGUAGCACAUGUCUGUAGUCCCAGCUACUCAGAGGCAGAGGCAGGAGGAUCACUUGAGCCCAGGAGGUCGAGACUGCAG